UUAAGUGACUAAGCGUACAAGGUGGAUGCCUUGGCAAUCAGAGGCGAAGAAGGACGUGCUAAUCUGCGAAAAGCUUGGAUGAGUCGAUAAGAGGCGUUUAAUCCAAGAUAUCCGAAUGGGGAAACCCAGUAGAUGAAGAAUCUACUAUCAACAAGUGAAUUCAUAGCUUGUUGAGGCAAACCGGGAGAACUGAAACAUCUAAGUACCCCGAGGAAAAGAAAUCAACCGAGAUUUCGUCAGUAGCGGCGAGCGAAAGCGAAAGAGCCAGUAAGUGAUAACAGUAUGGUUAGGAGAAUGUGUUGGGAAGCACAAUCAAAGAGGGUGAUAAUCCCGUAUCUAAAAACCAUAUUGUGGUACUAAGCUAACGAGAAGUAGGGCGGGACACGUGAUAUCCUGUUUGAAGAAGGGGGGACCAUCCUCCAAGGCUAAAUACUCCUGAUUGACCGAUAGUGAACCAGUACUGUGAAGGAAAGGCGAAAAGAACCCCGGUGAGGGGAGUGAAAUAGAACCUGAAACCUUGUACGUACAAGCAGUGGGAGCCUGAAAGGGUGACUGCGUACCUUUUGUAUAAUGGGUCAGCGACUUAUAUUUUGUAGCGAGGUUAACCGAAUAGGGGAGCCGAAGGGAAACCGAGUCUUAACUGGGCGAAGAGUUGCAAGGUAUAGACCCGAAACCCGGUGAUCUAGCCAUGGGCAGGUUGAAGGUUGGGUAACACUAACUGGAGGACCGAACCGACUAAUGUUGAAAAAUUAGCGGAUGACUUGUGGCUGGGGGUGAAAGGCCAAUCAAACCGGGAGAUAGCUGGUUCUCCCCGAAAUCUAUUUAGGUAGAGCCUUGAGGUGACACCUUUGGGGGUAGAGCACUGUUUCGGCUAGGGGGCCAUCCCGGCUUACCAACCCGAUGCAAACUACGAAUACCAAAGAGUGAUACUCAGGAGACACACGGCGGGUGCUAACGUCCGUCGUGGAGAGGGAAACAACCCAGACCGCCAGCUAAGGUCCCCAAGUCUAUAUUAAGUGGGAAACGAAGUGGGAAGGCUUAGACAGCUAGGAUGUUGGCUUAGAAGCAGCCAUCAUUUAAAGAAAGCGUAAUAGCUCACUAGUCGAGUCGGCCUGCGCGGAAGAUGUAACGGGGCUGAAAUAUAGCACCGAAGCUGCGGCAUCAGGCGUAUCACUAAUACGCCUUACGAUUAACAAGCUAGAAUGGUGCGAAGCGACAUGAAAGGUUGUUCAAGCAACCCGAACGUUGAGUCGGGCAUCUUAGAGUGAGGAUUAUUAGUGAUACGCCUGUUGGGUAGGGGAGCGUUGUGUAAGCGGAAGAAGGUUCAUCGAGAGGUGGGCUGGACGUAUCACAAGUGCGAAUGCUGACAUAAGUAACGAUAAAACGGGUGAAAAACCCGUUCGCCGGAAGACCAAGGGUUCCUGUCCAACGUUAAUCGGGGCAGGGUGAGUCGGCCCCUAAGGCGAGGCUGAAAAGCGUAGUCGAUGGGAAACAGGUUAAUAUUCCUGUACUUGGUAAAGCUGCGAUGUGGGGACGGAGUAGGUUAGGUUAUCGCACUGUUGGAUAUGUGCGUUUAAGUUGGUAGGUGGGAAGUUUAGGCAAAUCCGGACUUCCUUAACACAGAGAGAUGAUGACGAGGCUCUACGGAGCUGAAGUAACUGAUACCACACUUCCAGGAAAAGCCACUAAGCGAAAGGCUUUACUAAACCGUACUGAAAACCGACACAGGUGGUCAGGUAGAGAAUACUCAGGCGCUUGAGAGAACUCGGGUGAAGGAACUAGGCAAAAUAGCACCGUAACUUCGGGAGAAGGUGCGCUUACAGUAAUUGUAGUCCCUUACGGAUGAAGGUGAAGUAAGUCGAAGAUACCAGCUGGCUGCAACUGUUUAUUAAAAACACAGCACUCUGCAAACACGAAAGUGGACGUAUAGGGUGUGAUGCCUGCCCGGUGCUGGAAGGUUAAUUGAUGGUGUCAUCGCAAGAGAAGCACCUGAUCGAAGCCCCAGUAAACGGCGGCCGUAACUAUAACGGUCCUAAGGUAGCGAAAUUCCUUGUCGGGUAAGUUCCGACCUGCACGAAUGGCAUAAUGAUGGCCAGGCUGUCUCCACCCGAGACUCAGUGAAAUUGAAAUCGCCGUGAAGAUGCGGUGUACCCGCGGCUAGACGGAAAGACCCCGUGAACCUUUACUAUAGCUUGACACUGAACAUUGAAUUUUGAUGUGUAGGAUAGGUGGGAGCCUUUGAAGCAGUGACGCCAGUCAUUGUGGAGGCGACCUUGAAAUACCACCCUUUAACGUUUGAUGUUCUAACGAAGAUGACGAAACGUGGUCUCGGACAGUGUCUGGUGGGUAGUUUGACUGGGGCGGUCUCCUCCCAAAGCGUAACGGAGGAGCACGAAGGUUUGCUAAUCACGGUCGGACAUCGUGAGGUUAGUGCAAUGGUAUAAGCAAGCUUAACUGCGAGACAGACAAGUCGAGCAGGUACGAAAGUAGGUCAUAGUGAUCCGGUGGUUCUGAAUGGAAGGGCCAUCGCUCAACGGAUAAAAGGUACUCCGGGGAUAACAGGCUGAUACCGCCCAAGAGUUCAUAUCGACGGCGGUGUUUGGCACCUCGAUGUCGGCUCAUCACAUCCUGGGGCUGAAGUAGGUCCCAAGGGUAUGGCUGUUCGCCAUUUAAAGUGGUACGCGAGCUGGGUUUAGAACGUCGUGAGACAGUUCGGUCCCUAUCUGCCGUGGGCGUAGGAUGAUUGAUUGGGGCUGCUCCUAGUACGAGAGGACCGGAGUGGACGCAUCACUGGUGUUCCAGUUGUCUCGCCAGAGGCAUUGCUGGGUAGCUAAGUGCGGAAGAGAUAAGUGCUGAAAGCAUCUAAGCACGAAACUUGCCAAGAGAUGAGUCAUCCCUGACUUUAAGUCAGUAAGGGUUGUUGUAGACUACGACGUAGAUAGGUCUGGUGUGUAAGUGUAGUGAUACAUUGAGCUAACAGAUACUAAUUGCCCGAGAGGCUUAACU
Molecule: ribosomal RNA, 3006 nt
Filed under: Haemophilus influenzae
Lineage: Bacteria; Pseudomonadati; Pseudomonadota; Gammaproteobacteria; Pasteurellales; Pasteurellaceae
Description: 23S ribosomal RNA
Rfam family: Bacterial large subunit ribosomal RNA
Source: RNAcentral